RNAcentral lists this ribosomal RNA (443 nucleotides) under uncultured bacterium. RNAcentral's name for it is "partial 16S ribosomal RNA". It matches the Rfam family "Bacterial small subunit ribosomal RNA", at positions 338 to 795 of the family's 1533-position model. The record is from RNAcentral.
CCUACGGGAGGCAGCAGUGGGGAAUAUUGGGCAAUGGGCGCAAGCCUGACCCAGCAACGCCGCGUGAAGGAAGAAGGCUUUCGGGUUGUAAACUUCUUUUAUCAGGGACGAAGCAAGUGACGGUACCUGAGGAAUAAGCAAGGGCUAACUACGUGCCAGCAGCCGCGGUAAUACGUAGGGGGCAAGCGUGAUCCGGAUUUACUGGGUGUAAAGGGCGUGUAGGCGGGAGUGCAAGUCAGAUGGGAAAACUAUGGGCUCAACCCAUAGCCUGCAUUUGAAACUGUACUUCUUGAGUGCUGGAGAGGCAAUCGGAAUUCCGUUUGUAGCGGUGAAAUGCUUAGAUAUACGGAGGAACACCAGUGGCGAAGGCGGUUUGCUGGACAGUAACUGACGCUGAGGCGCGAAAGCGUGGGGAGCAAACAGGAUUAGAUACCCGGGUAGUC